RNAcentral lists this long non-coding RNA (926 nucleotides) under Vigna radiata. RNAcentral describes it as "long non-coding RNA (VRAD_LNC008785)". The record is from RNAcentral. Lineage: Eukaryota; Viridiplantae; Streptophyta; Magnoliopsida; Fabales; Fabaceae.
UGUUUUUUUUUUAAAUAAAUAAAAUAAAAUAAAAUAAUAUCUUUUUCUUAUUCUUCUCCUUAUUCUUCUCCUCAUUCUUCUCCUCAUCUUUCCAUCUUUUUAUCUUUCUCCUUAUUCUUCUCCUCAUUCUUCUCCUUAUCUUUCCAUCUUCUAUCUUUCUAUCUUUCUAUCUAUUUUCCUUUCUAUUUUAUUUUUAUCUUUUUAUCUUUAUCUUUUUAAGAAAAAAAAACGAAAAUUAAAAUAAAAAAAAAGUUUAUAUCUUUUAUUGUUUUUAUUUUUUUGGCUAAUUUUGUGCUCUAGUGCAGUGUUCUUUAGUGUGUGCAAAUAAGAUUUGUACCAGGAGCACAAGAUCAUCAGGAGGUAGAUAAGGAAGGAGAAUUGGUUCACCAACACCCUGAUGUGAAAAGUGACAAAGCCAAACCUGGCACACUAAUGAAAUUUCAGAAUAGGUUUUGGGUUGUCAAGACUAUCAAAGCAAACAGAGCGCGCUCUUGAGAUUGAUAAUCCUUAGAGUUGGUGACAAGGAAAUUUUCGAGAUUUUGUUGGUGUCAUGGAGGAAGGAAGAACGCCAACAGAAAAUAUCAACACCUACUAAUGGGUGUUUGGGCUUUACCGGGUCAAGCUAAUGACGUUAAAGAAGCGUUUGCUGGGAGGCAACCCAGUUUCUAACCCCGUUUCUGAAAUUUUUUUUUUGUUUCUUUUAUUUUAUUUUAUUUUAUUUAGGUUAAAUGCUGCUUCUGAUGGCAGUGAUGAUAACAUUUACUGAUGAAUGCUUUUACAACAUCUACUGAUGGAUGUUAGGUGAUUUGGCAUCUACUGAUGGAUGCCAAUGUAGAUAAGAAAGAUUAGCAUCUACUAAUGGAUGCUAUAUGGUUAGACAUCUACUGAUGGAUGUCACUAACAACAUUUACUAAUGAAUGCUACUA